AAAUUGAAGAGUUUGAUCAUGGCUCAGAUUGAACGCUGGCGGCAGGCCUAACACAUGCAAGUCGAGCGGUAGCACAGAGAGCUUGCUCUCGGGUGACGAGCGGCGGACGGGUGAGUAAUGUCUGGGAAACUGCCUGAUGGAGGGGGAUAACUACUGGAAACGGUAGCUAAUACCGCAUAAUGUCGCAAGACCAAAGUGGGGGACCUUCGGGCCUCAUGCCAUCAGAUGUGCCCAGAUGGGAUUAGCUAGUAGGUGGGGUAACGGCUCACCUAGGCGACGAUCCCUAGCUGGUCUGAGAGGAUGACCAGCCACACUGGAACUGAGACACGGUCCAGACUCCUACGGGAGGCAGCAGUGGGGAAUAUUGCACAAUGGGCGCAAGCCUGAUGCAGCCAUGCCGCGUGUGUGAAGAAGGCCUUCGGGUUGUAAAGCACUUUCAGCGGGGAGGAAGGCGUUAAGGUUAAUAACCUUGGCGAUUGACGUUACCCGCAGAAGAAGCACCGGCUAACUCCGUGCCAGCAGCCGCGGUAAUACGGAGGGUGCAAGCGUUAAUCGGAAUUACUGGGCGUAAAGCGCACGCAGGCGGUCUGUCAAGUCGGAUGUGAAAUCCCCGGGCUCAACCUGGGAACUGCAUUCGAAACUGGCAGGCUAGAGUCUUGUAGAGGGGGGUAGAAUUCCAGGUGUAGCGGUGAAAUGCGUAGAGAUCUGGAGGAAUACCGGUGGCGAAGGCGGCCCCCUGGACAAAGACUGACGCUCAGGUGCGAAAGCGUGGGGAGCAAACAGGAUUAGAUACCCUGGUAGUCCACGCCGUAAACGAUGUCGAUUUGGAGGUUGUGCCCUUGAGGCGUGGCUUCCGGAGCUAACGCGUUAAAUCGACCGCCUGGGGAGUACGGCCGCAAGGUUAAAACUCAAAUGAAUUGACGGGGGCCCGCACAAGCGGUGGAGCAUGUGGUUUAAUUCGAUGCAACGCGAAGAACCUUACCUGGUCUUGACAUCCACAGAACUUAGCAGAGAUGCUUUGGUGCCUUCGGGAACUGUGAGACAGGUGCUGCAUGGCUGUCGUCAGCUCGUGUUGUGAAAUGUUGGGUUAAGUCCCGCAACGAGCGCAACCCUUAUCCUUUGUUGCCAGCGGUUAGGCCGGGAACUCAAAGGAGACUGCCAGUGAUAAACUGGAGGAAGGUGGGGAUGACGUCAAGUCAUCAUGGCCCUUACGACCAGGGCUACACACGUGCUACAAUGGCAUAUACAAAGAGAAGCGACCUCGCGAGAGCAAGCGGACCUCAUAAAGUAUGUCGUAGUCCGGAUUGGAGUCUGCAACUCGACUCCAUGAAGUCGGAAUCGCUAGUAAUCGUAGAUCAGAAUGCUACGGUGAAUACGUUCCCGGGCCUUGUACACACCGCCCGUCACACCAUGGGAGUGGGUUGCAAAAGAAGUAGGUAGCUUAACCUUCGGGAGGGCGCUUACCACUUUGUGAUUCAUGACUGGGGUGAAGUCGUAACAAGGUAACCGUAGGGGAACCUGCGGUUGGAUCACCUCCUUACAUUAAAGAA
Molecule: ribosomal RNA, 1550 nt
Filed under: Klebsiella pneumoniae
Lineage: Bacteria; Pseudomonadati; Pseudomonadota; Gammaproteobacteria; Enterobacterales; Enterobacteriaceae
Description: bacterial SSU rRNA
Rfam family: Bacterial small subunit ribosomal RNA
Source: RNAcentral